Molecule: long non-coding RNA, 506 nt
Filed under: Gossypium barbadense (sea-island cotton)
Lineage: Eukaryota; Viridiplantae; Streptophyta; Magnoliopsida; Malvales; Malvaceae
Description: long non-coding RNA (GBAR_LNC007279)
Source: RNAcentral
UUGAUACCAUUGUUGUAAAAUUUGUUGUUGUGGCAAAGGUUGUUGAUGUUGUUAUUGUAAAACAAACUGCCAUUGGAUCUCUGAAACUAGUGUUCCUUCUAGCCACUCCGUUCUCUUCCGUCUUCACUUUUAACCUCAUACCUAAUAGUCCAGGUUUGGUCAUGAAACAAUUUUGCUUUUAUUUAGGUUUGUUGGAUUACUAUAGGUUCGGCUUAUUACCUCUUUCACUCACGAACUAACAAAUUGCAAAUUUGCUCAGCCCAAAGACGAAGAGUAGCAAUUGACUUCUUUGUUCAUUGCACUAGUUUUUUUUCUUAUAUUUUAUUAUGGAAAUCAAGACUUGAAGUUUAGUAAUUUUUUAUUUUUUUUGGCCAGUAGAAAUUUUUUAAUUUACUAAUUUGGUGUAUUGUUUUUGCCAGUCAAUUUAUGUAAAUCCGAGGACCGUCGUUGAAUCGAGGAAAUCCCGAUCUUAUAGAUGUCUUCCUCAACUUUCAGAAUGAAAGGUA